CUCGUAGGCGGUUUGACAAGUCGGUCGUGAAAACCCGGGGCUCAACCCCGGGACGCCGGUCGAAACUGUCAUGACUAGGGUCCGGUAGAGGUGAGUGGAAUUCUCGGUGUAGCGGUGAAAUGCGCAGAUAUCGAGAGGAACACCUGUAGCGAAGGCGGCUCACUGGGCGGUACCGACGCUGAGGAGCGAAAGCGCGGGGAGCAAACA
RNAcentral lists this ribosomal RNA (207 nucleotides) under uncultured bacterium. RNAcentral describes it as "partial 16S ribosomal RNA". It matches the Rfam family "Bacterial small subunit ribosomal RNA", at positions 568 to 774 of the family's 1533-position model. The record is from RNAcentral.